CCUCUCCGCCGCGCGCCUCCUCGGGGGCGCGGGGCGAGCCUAGCAGUGGCGCCCGUGUUCCAGUCGAGCGGACUCCCGCCGAACUGGCCCGCGUGCGAUCGCUCGUGCUUUCGGAUGCAGAAUGCGAUGCCGGCGCGGGGGCCUCCGCCCCUGCGACCGCCCAUCUCGAGCCGCUCGUGCCCGAUAAGAACGACUUCCUCGCCCGUCUCGUCCCCUCGUCUCAUCGGCGUCGGGGAUCGUGCGGGUCGUGGUGUCGCCAAGGAAUGCUACCUGGUUGAUCCUGCCAGUAGUCA
This 293-nucleotide unclassified non-coding RNA is filed under the name Populus cathayana. Its description in RNAcentral is "partial external transcribed spacer". The record is from RNAcentral. Lineage: Eukaryota; Viridiplantae; Streptophyta; Magnoliopsida; Malpighiales; Salicaceae.